This 1522-nucleotide ribosomal RNA is filed under the name Phytoplasma sp. RNAcentral describes it as "bacterial SSU rRNA". It matches the Rfam family "Bacterial small subunit ribosomal RNA". Lineage: Bacteria; Bacillati; Mycoplasmatota; Mollicutes; Acholeplasmatales; Acholeplasmataceae. The record is from RNAcentral.
UCGAACGGAAACCUUCGGGUUUUAGUGGCGAACGGGUGAGUAACACGUAAGCAACCUACCCUAAAGACGAGGAUAACCAUUGGAAACAGUGGCUAAGACUGGAUAGGAAGAUAAAAGGCAUCUUGUAUCUUUUAAAAGACCUAGUUAAUAGGUAUGCUUUAGGAGGGGCUUGCGCCAUAUUAGUUAGUUGGUAGGGUAAUGGCCUACCAAGACGAUGAUGUGUAGCUGGACUGAGAGGUUGAACAGCCACAUUGGGACUGAGACACGGCCCAAACUCCUACGGGAGGCAGCAGUAGGGAAUUUUCGGCAAUGGAGGAAACUCUGACCGAGCAACGCCGCGUGAAUGACGAAGUACUUCGGUAUGUAAAGUUCUUUUAUCGAGGAAGAAAAGCAAAUGGCGAACCAUUUGUUUGCCGGUACUUGAUGAAUAAGCCCCGGCUAAUUAUGUGCCAGCAGCCGCGGUAAGACAUAAGGGGCAAGUGUUAUCCGGAAUUAUUGGGCGUAAAGGGUGCGUAGGCGGUCUAGUAAGUCAGUGGUGUAAUGGCAACGCUUAACGUUGUCCGGCUAUUGAAACUGCUAAACUUGAGUUAGAUAGAGGCGAGUGGAAUUCCAUGUGUAGCGGUAAAAUGCGUAAAUAUAUGGAGGAACACCAGAGGCGUAGGCGGCUCGCUGGGUCUUAACUGACGCUGAGGCACGAAAGCGUGGGGAGCAAACAGGAUUAGAUACCCUGGUAGUCCACGCCGUAAACGAUGAGUACUAAGUGUCGGGUUAAACCGGUACUGAAGUUAACACAUUAAGUACUCCGCCUGAGUAGUACGUACGCAAGUAUGAAACUUAAAGGAAUUGACGGGACUCCGCACAAGCGGUGGAUCAUGUUGUUUAAUUCGAAGAUACCCGAAAAACCUUACCAGGUCUUGACAUGUUUUUGCAAAAUGAUAGUAAUAUCGUGGAGGUUACCAGAAACACAGGUGGUGCAUGGUUGUCGUCAGCUCGUGUCGUGAGAUGUUAGGUUAAGUCCUAAAACGAGCGAAACCCUUAUCGUUAGUUGCCAGCACGUUAUGGUGGGGACUUUAACGAGACUGCCAAUGAUAAAUUGGAGGAAGGUGAGGAUCACGUCAAAUCAGCAUGCCCCUUAUGACCUGGGCUACAAACGUGAUACAAUGGCUGUUACAAAGGGUAGCUGAAACGCAAGUUCUUGGCCAAUCCCCAAAAACAGUCCCAGUCCGGAUUGAAGUCUGCAACUCGACUUCAUGAAGUUGGAAUCGCUAGUAAUCGCGAAUCAGCAUGUCGCGGUGAAUACGUUCUCGGGGUUUGUACACACCGCCCGUCAAACCACGAAAGUUGGCAAUACCCCAAAACGGUAGCCUAACUCGUUUAUUCGAGAGGGCGCCGUCUAAGGUAGGGUCGAUGAUUGGGGUUAAGUCGUAACAAGGUAUCCCUACCGGAAGGUGGGGAUGGAUCACCUCCUUUCUAAGGAAACCAAUAAAAUCAAUCAUCUUCAGUUUUGAAAGACUUAGGCAAC